CAGCAGCCGCGGUAAUACGGAGGGUGCAAGCGUUAAUCGGAAUUACUGGGCGUAAAGCGCACGCAGGCGGUCUGACAAGUCAGAUGUGAAAUCCCCGGGCUUAACCUGGGAACUGCAUUUGAAACUGUCAGGCUGGAGUCUUGUAGAGGGGGGUGGAAUUCCAGGUGUAGCGGUGAAAUGCGUAGAGAUCUGGAGGAAUACCGGUGGCGAAGGCGGCCCCCUGGACAAAGACUGACGCUCAGGUGCGAAAGCGUGGGGAGCAAACAGGAUUAGAUACCCGGGUAGUCCCUGUCUCUUAUAA
This 301-nucleotide ribosomal RNA is filed under the name uncultured bacterium. Its description in RNAcentral is "partial 16S ribosomal RNA". It matches the Rfam family "Bacterial small subunit ribosomal RNA", at positions 509 to 809 of the family's 1533-position model. The record is from RNAcentral.